Molecule: long non-coding RNA, 1053 nt
Filed under: Numida meleagris (helmeted guineafowl)
Lineage: Eukaryota; Metazoa; Chordata; Aves; Galliformes; Numididae
Description: lncRNA (ENSNMEG00000011411.1)
Source: RNAcentral
CGUAGGUGGCGGGCAGCGGGGGACGGGACCGGCCGCGGGGCUUCGCUGCGGCAGCGCCGGCUUUCCCCCGGCCGCCGCUUUCAUUCAUGCUUUCACCUUCGCCAUCUCCCUCUCUCCGAGCGAGGGGAAACAGGAGUGCGCGUGGGCGGCCGCCGAGCGGCUCGCUGUCAGUCAGCCGCCGCGCUGCAAAGAAGGCGAGCGAGGGAGAAGGAGGGGACCAGCUUUCCCCGGGAAGGGGGCGGCUGUCGUCGCCGCCUCUGCCUGCCGGCCCCGCGGCUCUUCCCGGGGGGCGUCUGCAGAGCCGGGAGCGGGGAGCGGAUCCCGCGCCGCAGAGCCACCCGGGUAGGGGAGCGGCGGGCGGCUCCUCGCCCGCGAUCGGCACCUGCCCCCCCCUUUCCCCCCCCCGCUCCUGUCUGGCGGAGGGGUCCGCGCCGCCGGCGGCGCGCGCGUGUGUACGUGUGUCUGCCGGGGGCCGCGGGGGCGCUCCGCAGCCGCCGUGCGAGGGGGCGCUGCUGCCAGGAGAGGCGCGAGGCGAGUUGUGACGGCUGCAACGGCCGUAGCGGCUCCGGGCGGGCGCUGAGGAGUGGGCGCGGUGCGCUGCGGGGCCGGGGUGCGCCGCGUGUCGAGGGCCGCCGAACCCGCCCAGCUGCAGCGAGCGGCUCUGCCUUUGUGCUUCCUCCGCACCUGAGGUGCGAGGCCGGGAGGGGCGGCGGAGCCUGGAGCCGGGGAGGGGAGGUAAGGCUGCGCCGCGCCGCGGCGGGCCGGGCGGCGGUGCCUGGAGCCGCGCUUCUCGUCUCGUCCUGCCUCACGGGCGGAGGUGCGGCAGCCCGGCCCCCCGGGAAGGACGGGACGAGGAGAGGUGCAGCCUCACCGCAGCCGGAGGGUGGGCGGGGGGCCGCGGGCGGGGCUCGCAGCGCGCCUUCCUCUGGGCUCGCUCGGGAAGGAGCGGGCAGUUCGCGGAGGCUGCUCUCGAAGCGGGCGCAGCCGCUAGUUCGCCACGGCCCGAUGUCAGCAACAGCUGCGCGGGGCUCUCCUGAACGCCGCCGCCCGUGA